RNAcentral lists this ribosomal RNA (405 nucleotides) under uncultured bacterium. Its description in RNAcentral is "bacterial SSU rRNA". It matches the Rfam family "Bacterial small subunit ribosomal RNA", at positions 370 to 772 of the family's 1533-position model. The record is from RNAcentral.
AAUGGGCGAAAGCCUGAACCAGCCAUGCCGCGUGAAGGAUGAAGGCCCUACGGGUUGUAAACUUCUUUUAUACGGGACGAAUCACUCGAACGUGUUCGGGUUUGACGGUACCGUAAGAAUAAGCAUCGGCUAACUCCGUGCCAGCAGCCGCGGUAAUACGGAGGAUGCAAGCGUUAUCCGGAUUUAUUGGGUUUAAAGGGUGCGUAGGCGGGAUAAUAAGUCAGCGGUGAAAUAUUGCAGCUUAACUGUAAAACUGCCGUUGAUACUGUUAUUCUUGAGUACAGUUGAGGUGGGCGGAAUGUGUAAUGUAGCGGUGAAAUGCUUAGAGAUUACACAGAACACCUAUUGCGUAGGCAGCUCACUAAACUAUUACUGACGCUGAGGCACGAAAGCGUGGGGAGCAAA